AACGCGAAGAACCUUACCAGGUCUUGACAUCCCUUGACAACUCCAGAGAUGGAGCGUUCCCUUCGGGGACAAGGUGACAGGUGGUGCAUGGUUGUCGUCAGCUCGUGUCGUGAGAUGUUGGGUUAAGUCCCGCAACGAGCGCAACCCUUAUUACUAGUUGCCAGCAUUCAGUUGGGCACUCAAAGGAGACUGCCGGUGACAAACCGGAGGAAGGUGGGGGUGACGUCAAAUCAUCAUGGUCCUUAUGACCUGGGCUACACACGUGCUACAAUGGCGUAUACAAAGAGAAGCCACCCCGCGAGGGCGAGCUAAUCUCAUAAAGUACGUCUCAGUUCGGAUUGUAGUCUGCAACUCGCCUACAUGAAGUCGGAAUCGCUAGUAAUCGCGGAUCAGCACGCCGCGGUGAAUACGUUCCCGGGUCUUGUACACACGC
Molecule: ribosomal RNA, 433 nt
Filed under: uncultured bacterium
Lineage: Bacteria
Description: bacterial SSU rRNA
Rfam family: Bacterial small subunit ribosomal RNA
Source: RNAcentral